This is a long non-coding RNA of Centrocercus urophasianus (Greater sage-grouse), 1659 nucleotides long. RefSeq lists it as uncharacterized. The record is from RefSeq and is a predicted model, not a curated record. Lineage: Eukaryota; Metazoa; Chordata; Aves; Galliformes; Phasianidae. The transcript has 3 exons.
UGUUCGUUAGUUGCCUCUUUCCCCCGGCUACAUUCUCUCUGCACAACAGUCUGUUGCUUACAGCUUCGGUGUUUCUCCCACCCCCAUCUUUAUGUAGCAUCCAAGGGGGAUUGUGUGUGAGAAAACUGUGUUAAAAAGAGAGAUGCUCUCUGAGAAGAGGGAGAUAAAGGAGGAUUUGCUACUCGUAGCCUGCCAGGAGAGUUACAAUAGUAGAUGUGGAAAAGUACUGAGUUCACUGAAAAAAAGUGUUUGUGUUUGGCAUAUCUGCAAAGCCAACACUUCCAGAGUUUUGUAGUGACAUGUAAAACUUCAGGUUAAAUUGGGAACUGGCCUGCAGUUUUGAAGUGUGAGGGCUGAAUUUGUCUAGGUAAAAGGGUCUCUCUUCUGCUGCAUAUAGUUUUCCUAGCAUUCCCCCCUUCCCCUCUUACUUUUUUUUUUUUUUUUUUAAUUAAUGGGCUUGUUUUCAAACUUCCACCUCACUUUGAAGUUGAUCCAUUCUGGGUCUGAAUCUUUGCUCCUACUCUAUAGUAUCACAAAGUUUGCUGGUUUUUUUUCAUCAUUUUCCUUUGUGUUAGAUUCCAAUUUAGGUAACUCCAUCUUUACCAACAUGACAGUGAAAUGACAAGAAUUCAUCUAGUGCUGCCAUAUAACUUCCUAGCUGAUUGGUCAGCCUUGAGCAAGUGAACAGACAGGUUUCUGACUGGAGUGGCACGAAAGGGAAGAAAUAGAUGAGUGUACCCAUAUCUAUAUGAAGUUGCUACAACCAAAUUAUGGCAGAUACUCAAGCAACUUAAGAGAGAGAACUUAUGUUACCAGCUUCCUCUAAAACAGUGUACCUGUGAAAUUAAGCCCACAGACAUGAGAAGUCAUAUUGCUAUCCUCCAGUUUUUCCGUCUAUGGAUGAAUGAUCACCAGCACCAUCAACAAAGCAAGCGCCCAUUGCACAGGCUGUCCUUGUGCCUCGAGAGCAGUGGAAGAAACAGCUGAGGAAUGAGAAGAAAAAGAGAGCUGGCUUUCAGCCCUGUUGAUCCAGGAACAUUGAGAGUGAGUCUGGGAAUAUGGCUGGCACAAGGUGAGAAUUUCAUUCACUGCUGGGGAGUGUAGAAGGGGGCUGAGCUCGGACUGUGCUUGCUGCCUGCGCCCCAAAAGCCUCCUUGUUGCUGAAGACUGCCCCGGGGAGCCUGGCUGUAGGGGUUUGGCUGUUGCUCAGGAACAGCUUGAAGGGCACAUGUUGGGUGGGCAGAUGGAGCGGGUGAUGGAGAUGAUCUGAUGAAGAAGGGGAAGUGCACAGCGAGAAGCGGAAUGACAAAAGGGCAGCCGUGUGGGCGACCCAGUGGGAGUGGAGGAGGGCAAUAACUCAUCUCAAGAGGAGUGAGAAGCCAGCAGCGAAAUUGCCUGGAAUAAUCGGCUGAGGCAGAAGAGGGCUGAUGGAAUGAUGAGGUCUGGCAGACUUGAGGUUAUUCUCCAUGUGUGCCUGUCAGGGAGUCAAACAGUUUCCUGGUCAGUCAGCAAGGGCUGCUGAUCAACAGCCCUGGUGCUGGUCACAGCCCUGCAUGGUCCAAAGUAUUGUUAACCACGCGACAGAGCAGAGGGGCAUCUUCGGAGGUCCCAGAGGCACAGCAUCUCGACACAUGAAGGCAGCCCCCGAUGCAGCAGCCU